UUUUUUUUAAGACUUCUUCGGAGACGUUUAGGAAGAGCAAAUACUCUGGCAGGAGGUGUUCUGCCCACUGAGACCAAGCCCAGGAACACUGAGAGAAAAAUUACCCUGACGCGGCUUCCGAAACAGAACUAAUCCUGUAGACACAUGCAUUUAGGUUUUGUCUCAGCUUACUAACAAUGGCAGAGGCUACACCGCUUGGCCCGUUUUGAUGUUCUGCUCUCCCUUUGUAGAAGGAGGAUAAAGACCGACAGCUGCAGGAGUGCCUGGAGCUGGCAGACCAGAAGCUGCAGCAGAUGCUGACAGAAGUGGUGGCUGAGCUGGCUCAGCAGGUGGCUGCGCUCUCCAAGGCAAAGCAAAGAGCAAAAAUGAAUGAAGAACACAACGAACACUCAUCAGAUACCGUGGAUCAGCUUCUGUCUGUUUCAGAUGAGAGGCUUCAGCUUCAUCUGAAGGAGAGAAUGGCUGCUCUGGAGGAUAAGGUGCAGCCCCUGAAAGAUCAGGACCAGGAGCGCGGGCAGCAAGCCAGCGUGCUGGCCAACAUGGGCCAGCUGUUCAAGAGUGACAAGGGCGUGUCAGACAGCGAGGGCGACGGGGUCAUCCUCUUCAGCGUGCCCGCUCUGCUGUCGCCCAUCGGGCAGGCCGAUGCCGAGACUCUGGCCAUGAGGAUUCAGGAGCAGCUGGACAAGAUCAACGAAGAGAUCUGGUUGAUUCAAAAAGACAAGGAGAACACGGAUCAGCGGGCGGAGGGGAUUGAGAGCAGGGUGGGCAGUGGGAACUUCAGCAACCUUCGGCGCUUUAAGUCCUCCAACUCCCUCAACCUGGAUCCCGCCUCCUCGCAUGCCGGCUCCUUCCCGCCCAGCAGAGGGCGCUCCAUGCCCGAAAGGAGGCAGCCCAGCCCUGAGCGAGAAGACAAGCUGGGCUUCAUGACUCUGGUAUGUGUCUGCCUCCUCCCUGCCACGUCCCUCCCGAGCACACUGGUUUUCUUUUGUUUGUUUUUUUCUCUUUUUACCCAGAAGAAAAUCAGGCACAUUUGCUACGCUCAGAGGUCUAAGAUUUUUUAAAACUGCCUAGUCUUGAAUCGGGCUUCCCUAGUGCCUCAGACGGUAAAGCGUCUGUGUGCAAUGCAGGAGACCCGGGUUCGAUCCCUGGGUUGGAAGAUCCCCUGGAGAAGGAAAUGGCAGCCCACUCCAGUAUUCUCUGCCUGGAAAAUCCCAUGGACCGCUGAAGCCUGGUAGGCCACUGUCCAUGGGGCCGCAAAGAGUCGGACACGACUGAGCGAAAUCAUUCCAUAAUCACACAGCGACAAAUGAGUCUUGAUAUUUGGACCCCUGGCUUAGGAAUCUCAAGUGGUCUGCUCGCUGAUGGGCCUGGCCGCGCGCUCAGGCCAGCUCUGCGUGUGAAACCAGGUUAAAAGCCC
RNAcentral lists this long non-coding RNA (1417 nucleotides) under Capra hircus (goat). RNAcentral's name for it is "lncRNA (ENSCHIG00000005362.1)". The record is from RNAcentral. Lineage: Eukaryota; Metazoa; Chordata; Mammalia; Artiodactyla; Bovidae.